UACGGAGGUGGCAAGCGUUACUCGGAUUCAUUGGGUGUAAAGGGCAAGUAGGCGGUCUAAUGGGUGAGGGGUGAAAUCUUCCGACUCAAUCGGAAAACUGCCUUUCAAACUAUUAGACUUGUGGACGGAAGGGGAAGAUGGAAUUCUCAGUGUAAGGGUGAAAUCUGUAGAUAUUGAGAAGAACACCGGCGGCGAAGGCGAUCUUCUGGUCCGUUCCAGACGCUGAAUUGCGAAAGCUAGGGGAG
Molecule: ribosomal RNA, 245 nt
Filed under: uncultured bacterium
Lineage: Bacteria
Description: partial 16S ribosomal RNA
Rfam family: Bacterial small subunit ribosomal RNA
Source: RNAcentral